RNAcentral lists this long non-coding RNA (340 nucleotides) under Ananas comosus (pineapple). RNAcentral describes it as "long non-coding RNA (ACOM_LNC025377)". Lineage: Eukaryota; Viridiplantae; Streptophyta; Magnoliopsida; Poales; Bromeliaceae. The record is from RNAcentral.
GAACUAUGCCUGCUCUUUUGUGGAUGGAUUCGCUUGCCUAGGUCUUGAUCGUGCUUUUGAAUUUACUAUGAACUAUGAACUAAGAAUUUAGAGCGAGUCUUGUUUUGAGCAUCUCAUUCUGGUGCUCGGCUUGGAUUGAAGUGUGUAACAACCCUGAAGAAUAAAGGGUAGAAGUCGUAGUAGUAUUAAUAGUUAGAUGUAGAAGAUGAGUAAAGGUAGCAGCUUUACUAGCUAGAAGAAGAAUAAGUGACAGCAGGGGGUGGUGAGGAGUGAGCUCGGCGGAGCGAUCCGACGGUAAGGCGCUCGAGCGGAACUCCGGCGGGAAGGCGCCUUCGAAGGN